Molecule: long non-coding RNA, 3043 nt
Organism: Triticum dicoccoides
Lineage: Eukaryota; Viridiplantae; Streptophyta; Magnoliopsida; Poales; Poaceae
Exons: 8
Source: RefSeq, a predicted model, not a curated record
CCCUACCUCCUGCAAAUCAUCCCGACCUCGCGUCCCUCCCGUGCACCGCCGGGCCGCCCAUGCUUCCGAGCGCGCAGCCGCCAGCCUUCUCCCCACCGUGCCGCCAACCAGCCUCCUUCCAGCACGCCUCCGACCGGCCUCUCCCCGAGCGCGCCGCCGUCCAGCCUCCUCCCCGAGCGCGCCGCCGCCAGGCCUCCUCCCCACCGCACCGUCGGUCGGGCCUCCUCCCUACUGUGCCGCCGCCCAGCCUCCUCCCCACCGUGCCGCCGCCCGACCUCCUCCAAGCGCGCCUACAGCCGACCUCUCCCCCACCGCGCCGCCGCCAGGCCUUCUCCCAACCGCGCCGCUGGCCGGCCUUCUCCCCAUCACCGGCAGCUUCUUCGUUCUUCUUUGGCCGCCUCCCUUCCUCCAACCUCCCGCAUCUCGCACUGCCCACAGCACAAUGCCAUCUCCCGGUGGGGCUCCGCCACCGGAGCGCCUUGUCCAUUCACAGCCACCACUCCAGGCUGUUCAACGCCACCACCCGAAGUGAUUCACCACCUCCCUCUGCUGCCCCUCCUAUGUUUGUUGGUGUAGCCAGCGGCGCUCUGCCCCUCUUCUACUUACCCUGUCCAUCUUCGCAACUCCUCGCAGGGCAUGACGAGGAUACUGCUGACAUUGAUCCCACACUUCCGGGAGGUUGUUCUGAUGGCCUUCGAGUGACUACAUAGCAGUGAAAGGGACGGUGGCAUGAAGCAGUUGAGUAGGUGUGCUUGGUGAGAAGCUACUGAACUUAUUCAGACACUACAAAUAUAGUCCCACACAGCCUCUCAACACCACUUCUUGAAUCUGCUUGAACCUUCAUGGCCCAGGCCGUUCACUGCCUCCACACAAGGCCGUUCGAUGACGCAACGCUCAAGCCAUUCACCCUUGCUAGCACCCUAGACUCCCAUGAAAUAUCUAGUCAAAAAAUGGUCGUAAGUGCAAAUACACUACACACGCUGAGCUGCAACAGGACACGGUGACAUCACUUCUUUUGGGUUGUUUUCUGUAUGCAUUUUUGUUAUUAAAUUUAGUACAACGAAACACAUGAAUCUCCAGCGGGUACCAAAUUACUGAUUCCUUAAAACAAUUAGUAGAUUUCACCAUUGGUUGGUCUACUUGUGUAAAUCUGUCAGUUCAUGACAAGUAACUUCUGAUGCUAGAAAAUGCAGGAUGUUUGUGUGAAUCUUGCUUGUUUCAGAGAGAAAAAGAGUUGGUACUUGCAUCACAUGGUGUACUGAACAAACAUACACAUUCACAUAAACAUGCUAACAACUCCUCUUGCUAUACUCAUGCUUGUACUUGUUUAUUUUUCUUGUUUGGGAAAUGGUUUCCUAUCCUCCUAACAGCUUUCUCAAAUUUCAUUUAAUUUAGUUUCAAAUCAAACCAGAGCUAAUGCAUAAAUGUCAUUGAGUGGGGUUGCUAGGAAGAUUUGCAUUAGAGAAUGCUUUGUUGGAAAAGCUUCUAUUAGUAUUAUUAACAACAAAACUCUCGGUGGACAUAGACCGUAAAUCUUGAGACUAUUUUCGCCAUUUUUUGCCCUUUGGUGUUUGGAAAUUCUAAAUUUUGUUGAUUUCAACUUGAUGAAUACAAAGAUAUAUGCCAUGAGUUUUCAAUUAUAUCUCUUCUAUUGUAAUUGAUUAUUGGUGCUUAUUAGUAGAUAUACAUGUAUGAGUUCACUCCUGACUAUUGUAAUAAAGUUUUUUAGGAUUUGGAAGUAUCUAGUCUGGAUUGACAGUGUACAUACAUAAAAAUUAAUCCCUAAUGGAUAUUUAAGAUCACUAUUUUUCUGAACAGGGUAAGAUGAUUCAACAUGGAGUACAACUGUUGUUGAAUAUGACUUGUGUACUUGCUGGACAAUAGUGUAUGAACUUUUCCGAUGGAUAUAGCAAGCCGGCGCAAAAAGAGGACUCAUACGAUGCUUCUCCAGGUCGGAGCGUACAUAUCUCGAGUGACGGGAGUAAAGUCUAGUCUGCGAAAGUAGUUGUACUGAUGCGCUACUGGUGGCGUGAAGUCUAGUCUGCUGAGGAUUAUUCUAUUUUGCAGUCUAAUGGUGCACUGCUGGUGGCAUGAAAGCAAUCAAAUGGUGAUAUAUUUGGACCUUUGCCUCGUCAGUACAACAGCACGUUCCACAACCGGUCAUUAGAAAGACCUGCGUGCAGGCCAUCCUGUGCUCCAUCCUCGGUCCAGCUCAGUCAUCUCUCUCUCAUCCUCUCUCUCUGCUCCGUGUGUGUAUGGAGUGGGAGGAGAUAGAGCAGAGGAGUGGGAGACCCUUCCAUGGCGAAUUCAUAGGCAUCUUCCAUGGAGAUUUACAAAGAAGCUUCAGUAUGAGAAAAAAUGGGUCGUCGGUUCAUCCAUGUGCAACCUCCUGCAUGGUCGACCAUUUUUAUUUGGAGCCUAUUCGCUCUAAUGCACAACAGAGGUUGGUGCUCACCUUCUUCGAGACCACUGCCUGCCGUCUGCUCCCACAUUUUCAGGCUCCUACGACAAGACCUACUGCCUCGCCACCGCCACCGGAUACACACAAUUCAUCGCAUUUGUCAUCGACCGGUUGCACCACUAUCUUCAGAAGCUCAUCACCGUGAGGAAAUCAGCCAACACCUCCCGGAGAGGAGGUUGGAAAAUUCCAAAUGGAGUUCAAACAUGAAUUUGAGAAAAUGAUUCCUCGGCUAAGUUCGAAAAAUGUCAUUCUGUGAAGUUCUGCUAUUCAGCCAUGGACUAGUCAAUGGUGGAGUUGCAAUUUUGUUUCUUUUGUGCAUACAUGAAUUGAAUGUAAUCAACGGAAAGAAACAUAUGUUGAUUCUCCAAGUUAGAGUUCAUUUUUAUUUUCUUACAAGUAGCAAAACUGCCUCUGUAUAUCAGUGCAACUUUUGCGUGAUCUUGUGUUCAUAAAUCUUGUAGUACUGUUUUUACAGGGAUCUUUCUAGUACUUUGUAAAGCAAGCAUGAUCCAUUUGUAAAAAUAUGGCAAAAGACAUCCUUCACUCUUGCAAUCUUUUGCUAAAAAAAUGUUUUAAGUUCAA